UCUCCACAUCCAGUCAGUCUCCAGGUCCCAGUGACCCACCUCAACGCUGGUUGGAACCUGCUCAUUCUCCAUCUCCACUGUGGGCGCAUUGAUCGCGUUGCCUUGUCUCACCUAGAUAGCUGCAGUAGCCUCUAGCUUUCCUCUGGUGGUGUUCCCCCAUUCUGUUCUUCACAGAGCAACCAGGGUGAUCUUUAUAGGGGACAUCAGUCUUUUGCUUUUUAGACUCCAGUUUCUCCCCAUUAUCCUCAGAAUGACCACCAAGGGCCUUCAUGAUCUGGCUUUAUUAACCUCUCUUCCUGGUCUCCUUUUCCACACACCACAGGUUCUGCAGUUCACAGAUGAAGACGAUUUCCUCUCCCCUGAGUGUGCUGUGCUCUCUCUUGGCUCCAGGCUGUUGAACAUGUUGUUCCCUCCACCUGGAAAGCUUCCGUUUCACUCCCUGGCCCUUUACCUGAGCCUUAUUCAUGGUUUAAGUUUCAGUGGAAAUAGCACAGCUCUCAGGAAGCCUUCUCCAAGUCCCUGGGGCCCAGGAAUGAUGCUCCUCAUCUACGGCCACUUGGUCCCAAGACUUGCCUCUGGUCCAGCGCUCCCAUGGGCAUGGUCCUCGCCUACGCACAAGGAGACCUGGAGGGCAGGGGCUAUGUUUUGCUUUUGUUUUGUCGUCAGUACUGGGUGCCUGGCACAUAGAAAGGUGCUUACAAAGGUUUGGAAUUGAUCAAAAUCGGUCGGAGAACUUCAUUUUACCCUUGGAUUUCCUAUGCAUAUAAUUCAACGGGAACCUCCCUAUUUUAUUGAAAGCAUAUGACAGACCAAAACGCCACAGAUAUGAAAGAAAGGUAAGUAAUCCAUUAUUAAAAAUAGCUUUUACCUGAGCCUGCUGCUGUGCAAAUCCUAAAACAAGGUAGGUUUGUUCUCCUGAGACCGUGGGUUAAAAGGACUGCAUCAUUGAUUGUGGCUUAAAAAGGUUCUCUCAUCAAGCAGAGUAUGUGUGUCUCUCUCUCCCAGAAUUAAUUCUCGAUAUGACUCCAGCUGAUGGAAAUGCAGCAUCUUCAGGAGCCAGACCGCUUCGUUAUACUCUUAGGGUUCUUGCUUAGCAACUGCUCAUUCCCAUUCCUAGAUAAUAACAGCUAACUCUAAGUCCUGCUUACUAUGUGCCAGGCACUGUUCUAAGCACUGCGCAUAUAAUAACGCACUAAACCUUUACAAGAACUUUGUGAGGUAAUUACUAUUAUUAACAUUAUUAUGCCCAUUUUAUGAGUAAGGAAACAAGCACAGAGAGGUUAAGUAACCUGCCUAACGUUACAACAGAUAAAACAUGGUAGAGCUGGGAUUCAAACCGGGGCAGUCUGGCUUCAGAGUCUGUGCUCUUAAUUACUAUGCUACAUUGCUUCUUAACCCUGAAAUCAACACUUGAACUUUAAAAAUCAGCUCUAGAUGCAACAGCUGAUACUGGGUUGAGGAUCGCAUUGUAGGGGUCACUGUGAACAAGAGACCCUUCCCCCAGGUGACAGCAAAUGAUGAGGCUAAGGCCAGUGGCUCAACACCUGAGCCCCAAGCCUUGGGGAUCCCCUGCCAAGCGCAGUGGUGUGCUAGAGCAGGCUUCUACUGCUUAGGACACAACCACCAAUUGUUAACCAGUCAGGAACGCUGCAUCCAGUGUUAGACUGUCGAUGGCUUGAAAUCAGCCACACUAGGAGUAUUUACACCACAGAAAUUGGCAAACACUACAAAUCAGAGACCAUAUCCCCAAACACUGUCCCUGCUGGAGGAUGCUGAUGGAGGAUUUCAAUCAUCUUGACUGAAAGAGCCUAGUGUGAGGCUGGAGAAUGUUUUUUACUUUCCCAGGGCCUGGCUGAGCUGGCCUGGAUUAGAUCUAUAAGAUGUUUUCAAUUGCUGGUAUCUGCGUGAAGGCUUUCUUUGAAGGCAUGGAAAGCCACUCUGCCUAAUGAAAGGUGGCCCAGAAUGUCAAGGAAUCAACAUCCCCCGGCUCCCACCAACCCCAGAACCUCUCCACCCAGGGCAGGGAACACGGGUGUUCCUCUGGCCAUUAGUGCGGGUCUUCUCAAGGUAGGCCUUUUCUGUGGUCCCCGGAGCUUCCACACAGCCUUCAGCUACAGUCACUCAGAGCAGUAGUUGAUGUGGUAACUCAGCCUUUAUGUGCUGUCCUCAGUUCACAGGCUCAACUUCCUGUCUUCCUCCUGGUAUUUCUUGCACCUCCCAACUAAACUUGUAGUCCAGUUCUUUUCGGAGAGUGCUUUCGGGAACGCCCCAACUAAGAGGGGCUGAAUGGGCAGUCCCCAGUGCUUGGUGUGCAAAGGUGGGGAGUCCUGGCCAAAGCGCUGGGCUGCCUCAGCCCUCUCCCAGUGCUAGUCCUGCUCCCUGGCCCUUGCUCUGUAUUUUAGAGACUCUUCCAUGGCUUUGCUGGCCCUGCUGCCCAGUUUUGUGGUCUGGGCCCUGCUGCCCUCCAUGCUCCUGGAGGUGAUGGUGCACUGCUGACUGCCCAGCCUGCGGCUCAGGGGCAUGCCCAUUUCUCCAGGGAAGACCCUGUAGCAUCUAAAAGAGUUUCCCUGCAUGCAAGGAGGGACAUAAGCUCAUUAUCAUCAUUCUGACACUAGCUGCCAGGCGUUUCUCUCUAAGCCCAGAGUUGAGAUCGUCUGAGUCUCCUUCCAGGAGCGCAACAUGAACUUGGCAGAAGGAAUCCACAGGUUUGUGUGGGUGUGACAGAACAGACAUCACUAGCAGAACGUUUUGGGAAGCAGUCUGUCUAAACUGGACUUUUCCCGGGCCCGGCAGGGAGCAGAGAGCAUGAGCCGAUACGUUUGAUUGUGGCGAUCCCCUCUAUCCUUUAGAUUGCUUCCAACUCAGAGCUAAGGCCUGCGCUUGGCUGGAGGAGUGCUCAGCGCUAACAGCACGUUUUCAUUCUCCAGAACAGCCAAGAGGGGAAGUGCGGGAGGAAUUGAGGAGUCAGGGCUUCCGAGCCACUCUGACCCAAGAGCCCAGCUGGAGGGACAGGCAGGGGCGUGGCUCCCUCCCAAGCCACUGGAGCUCUACCCGCCCUGUCCUGUAUCACUCCCAUUUCUCCAGAGCCUGACUUCUAAAUGUACAUUGUGUAUUUUGUUAAGUCCUGUGUUUGUUUUCUGACUUUGGUAAAAAGCUGUAGGUGGGAGCAAAAUGAUCUGUUGAAGAAAUUUAAAAGCAAAUUUAUUCAAGCGCACAAUAUGGAGUUAUUUCACAUCCUGGGACAAAGGAAAAGUGAGCACCAAGAGGGAAACUGACUGUGGCCUGUGGGCAGCAGAAGUUAACACCAUAUUCACUGUAAGAAUUGAACUCACUGCAGUUACCAGGAGUGUUUCAUUCCUACCUAACACCUCUGCUAGUGAAAUAUAGCAGACACAAGUUUAAGCCUGGCACGGGGAGCUUUUCUGAAGACCGUCAUGUGUGCUGUGUUUGUCUAUGGACAGAUGUGUGUUCUCCCUAGACCGUGAGUACCCCACGGCCUCAGGGCCGUCCACUUGGCCCUGAAGGUGCAAUUAGCGAGAGCUCAAGGAAGUUGCUUGUGAGGGAAGAGUGACUGCCUGUCUCCUGCUCCCCUUUUCCUCCUUUUACCUCUUAGUAGAGCCCAUGCCCCAUUUUUAUUGUAUAACUUAACGGAAUGAAUCCAAUGGUGCUGUUCAGACAGCAGAGCGAGCAGGGGAGGGUGUGGGGCCAUCAGAGACUGGGGAGAGGAUCUUACCCGGCGGAGUGUCCUAGUUCCCUUCAGGAAUCAUGCUGUGCAAGCAACCAGCCAUUGGCCUCAGACGUGGGCUGGACCGUGAGUCUGUUGAGUCAACUGUGACUAAAAGAUAUGCUAGUUCUAAUUUCCUGUGACUCAUUAAGAAAGCCUUAUUGGGCAAGCAUUGUUUCUGAAGCCAAAUCUGUUAGCUCAAGCAGUUUACUCUGCUCAUGGGCACGGCUCAAAGAGGUGACUUGGGCCACCAAACAUCUCUUUUCAGUCGCAAGUCAUUCUGGGGCUACAUAUUAGAAAAUCUGCUCGAUUUAUCUUUACUGCAUCCAAACUGGCUGACAUCCUUUACUGACUUCGGACCCUCGAGUGAGUUCCACAAGCAUUUGGGAAGGAAGCAGCAGCUGGAGCUGCCCCAGACUGAGGGCGUUGGUCUCCGCUCUCACCUGGCUUGAAUCUGGGCAGAGGCACUGCAUGGGCUUGAGGUUUUGCUUCAGCUCAAAUCCAGAAGGAGCCACCUCACUUUGUACUUAGCAAUGAUGAAGUCCUUUACUGCGUUCAUAAAUGUCCCCAGAGGCUAUUACUCAAAAGAGUUCAGCUAAUAAAUAUGAAAACCAAUAAUUAUCUUGUUUCAGAUUGCUGACUUGUGUAACUGCUCGAAGGGGUCAGAAGUGUGCAGCUUGCUCAACAUUGCCCCAGCAUCCUGACACUUGUGAUUAUGGAACUGGGGUGCAGAUAGGGGUCAGGGAGCAGAGCGAAUGAAUUGUGUUUGUGCAAUCUCUCUUGUUUUGGGGCCGGUGUUGGUGGGCGAGUGUGUUUGAUAGGUUUGGGUUGUGUCACGCGGUCCUGGUAGUUUCAUCUUUGGCUCCUCUCUUGGGCGCCCUUUCCUUGCAGGGGUGCUGGGCGUCGACCCAGGUCACAGAGUUGGCGACAUCCCUGACGAGCUGCUUUGUGAUCUAAUCCGGCCUUCAGGAAGCAGGGUAAUAUACAUGGAAUCAGACAGAUGUAAUCUUCUGGGACUGCCUCCCUUCACUCACCCCGAUGUUUUGGAGGGUCCCUGUGUAGCUGAGCUUGGUGACUUGUGCUUCGGUCUCACUGAGUGACCAUCCCUCUGCUGCUUGUUUGUCCCUCAGAGAAGGAGAGCUGCACUGACUGCCUGACCCCCCCAUUCAGACUUCACCCAGCUUCCCCGUCUCCCAUAUCCUCCUACUGGGCCCUGUGUAUGUCAUAGAGUAAGGUCUCUAAGAGGAUACUUGCUCACAAGGGAAAGGGGUGCAAGCAUGAACGCCUUCUUGGCUGCCCUGCACCAGGCCUGGGCCAACCUCGCAGGCUGGUGAGGAGGUUACCAACACAGGGACGUGACUCAUGUCGGCAAAGUAGGAUUUGAUUGGAAGGAUUUUCCCGGAAAGGAGAAGAGCUGGGGCAGCUCCAGGGGUCCCACAGGAGGAGCGAAUGGACUUCUUCAUUGGGCACCAGGGACAAAUCAACUCAGCUGGUGUUUGGCCCUGAGUCCCACUGCUCCAGAGUGGGAGUCUUGGGGAAGAGAAGGCCUGGCCUGCCUCAGGUGGGAGAGGGUAACCCGCAGAGUGGUACCCUGCAGAGAGAGGCGGCUCCACCAGAGCGGUUAGGUGCUGGGACCAGGGGAAGGGGCAGACGCUGGGGUGGCAGGUCAAAGUUUGACUCCUCCAGAAAAAUACCAGCUCCCCCAAAUGAGGGUGGGUCUAUCUGCAGGGGUCAUGUAACCCUGAUCAUUCAUGCUUUUCCUGGGCCUGAGAGUGGAUCUGGAAUACACUGUAUUAAAUAAUAAUAUUUAUUACUAUUUGGGUUGGUAUUUUCAGGGCUUUUCUCUAGUUUCUAGAUUUGCCCUCCUUUAGUGUUCCCACAUUUAUUUUAUUUUUGUAUUUAAUGUUAGUAUUUUCAUGUUAUAUUUGUACACACACAUGCAUGAUUGUUUCCAUGCCUUGAGUCCCUUGGUGCUAGUUGCAUUUUUAGGUUAUAUCAACUCUGCUACCCUGAGAAUCACGCUUGGCAUCUUCAGACUUUGUUUUUAAACCAACAAAUGAAGGACUGAUCUGCUCCUCUCAUCCCAGGGUCAGAGCACUGGCCUGGGAGCCAUCACUGGAGCCAGGAAAGCAGCCCUCGAUGCCUUGCUUAGGAUGAAACUUCUAGAAAACAGCCCAAUCUCCCUCAGCCUUGGUUUCCUGUCUGUGAAAUAAGCAUGCUGGUGUUCUACACCUAAUUCCAAAAGCUGAGAUUUUGUGCAAAAUUUCAGUUGUUGAAAACACACUGGGGGAAAAUGUGAUUGGAUGUACAUGCUGCGAUCCUUUAGAAUAACAAGUUGUGUGUGUCACUGUACCCUGAUGGUCUCCAAUAUGUUUUGUUGUGUCUCCGAGUAUUGUAAUUAUGUUAAUAAUGCUAUAAUAAAACUUAUCCAUGAAAUACA
Long non-coding RNA from Equus caballus (horse), 6164 nucleotides. RefSeq lists it as uncharacterized. NCBI's taxonomy places the organism in Eukaryota, Metazoa, Chordata, Mammalia, Perissodactyla, Equidae. The record is from RefSeq and is a predicted model, not a curated record.